RNAcentral lists this ribosomal RNA (250 nucleotides) under uncultured bacterium. RNAcentral describes it as "partial 16S ribosomal RNA". It matches the Rfam family "Bacterial small subunit ribosomal RNA", at positions 524 to 773 of the family's 1533-position model. The record is from RNAcentral.
UACGGAGGGUGCAAACGUUGCUCGGAAUCAUUGGGCGUAAAGCGCACGUAGGCGGUCGGCUAUGUCGGAUGUGAAAGCCUCGGGCUUAACCCGAGAAGGGCAUCCGAAACUGGCCGGCUUGAGUACGGAAGAGGGUCUCGGAAUUCCCGGUGUAGAGGUGAAAUUCGUAGAUAUCGGGAGGAACACCAGUGGCGAAGGCGGAGACCUGGGCCGAUACUGACGCUGAGGUGCGAAAGCGUGGGGAGCAAAC